GAUGAACGCUGGCGGCGUGCCUAAUACAUGCAAGUCGAGCGAACAGACGAGGAGCUUGCUCCUCUGACGUUAGCGGCGGACGGGUGAGUAACACGUGGAUAACCUACCUAUAAGACUGGGAUAACUUCGGGAAACCGGAGCUAAUACCGGAUAAUAUAUUGAACCGCAUGGUUCAAUAGUGAAAGACGGUUUUGCUGUCACUUAUAGAUGGAUCCGCGCCGCAUUAGCUAGUUGGUAAGGUAACGGCUUACCAAGGCAACGAUGCGUAGCCGACCUGAGAGGCUGAUCAGCCACCCUGGUACUGAGACGCGGUCCAGGCCCCUGCGGGAAGCAGCACUAGGGAAUCUUCCGCAAUGGGCGGAAGCCUGACGGCGCAACGCCGCGUGAGUGAUGAAGGUCUUCGGAUCGUAAAGCUCUGUUAUUAGGGAAGAACAAAUGUGUAAGUAACUAUGCACGUCUUGACGGUACCUAAUCAGAAAGCCACGGCUAACUACGUG
Molecule: ribosomal RNA, 497 nt
Filed under: uncultured bacterium
Lineage: Bacteria
Description: partial 16S ribosomal RNA
Rfam family: Bacterial small subunit ribosomal RNA
Source: RNAcentral